Molecule: small nuclear RNA, 105 nt
Organism: Mesocricetus auratus (golden hamster)
Lineage: Eukaryota; Metazoa; Chordata; Mammalia; Rodentia; Cricetidae
Source: Ensembl
GUGCUAGCUUCAACAGUACAUAUACUAAAAUUGGAAUGCUACAAAUAAGAUUAAGAUGGCCUCUGUACAAGGAUGACACAAAUUCAUGAAGCAUUCCACAUUUUU